GUGUCAGCCGCCGCGGUAAUACGUACCGUCCAAACGUUAUUCGGAAUCACUGGGCUUAAAGAGUUCGUAGGCGGCCCAGAAAGUUGGGUGUGAAAUCCCUCGGCUCAACCGAGGAAUUGCGCUCAAAACUACUGGGCUAGAGGGAGAUAGAGGUGAGCGGAACUGAUGGUGGAGCGGUGAAAUGCGUUGAUAUCAUCAGGAACACCGGAGGCGAAGGCGGCUCACUGGGUCUUUCCUGACGCUGAGGAACGAAAGCUAGGGGAGCGAACGGGAUUAGAAACCCGCGUAGUCC
This 292-nucleotide ribosomal RNA is filed under the name uncultured bacterium. Its description in RNAcentral is "partial 16S ribosomal RNA". It matches the Rfam family "Bacterial small subunit ribosomal RNA", at positions 505 to 796 of the family's 1533-position model. The record is from RNAcentral.